CGUGAGUAACCUGCCCUUGACUCUGGGAUAAGCGCUGGAAACGGCGUCUAAUACCGGAUACGACCUGCCCCGGCAUCGGGUGCGGGUGGAAAGUUUUUCGGUCAAGGAUGGACUCGCGGCCUAUCAGCUUGUUGGUGAGGUAAUGGCUCACCAAGGCGACGACGGGUAGCCGGCCUGAGAGGGUGACCGGCCACACUGGGACUGAGACACGGCCCAGACUCCUACGGGAGGCAGCAGUGGGGAAUAUUGCACAAUGGGCGAAAGCCUGAUGCAGCAACGCCGCGUGGGGGAUGACGGCCUUCGGGUUGUAAACCUCUUUUAGUAGGGAAGAAGGGCUUCGGCUUGACGGUACCUGCAGAAAAAGCACCGGCUAACUACGUGCCAGCAGCCGCGGUAAUACGUAGGGUGCAAGCGUUGUCCGGAAUUAUUGGGCGUAAAGAGCUCGUAGGCGGUUUGUCGCGUCUGCUGUGAAAACCCGAGGCUCAACC
This 488-nucleotide ribosomal RNA is filed under the name uncultured Rathayibacter sp. RNAcentral describes it as "bacterial SSU rRNA". It matches the Rfam family "Bacterial small subunit ribosomal RNA", at positions 116 to 614 of the family's 1533-position model. The record is from RNAcentral. Lineage: Bacteria; Bacillati; Actinomycetota; Actinomycetes; Micrococcales; Microbacteriaceae.